RNAcentral lists this ribosomal RNA (857 nucleotides) under uncultured archaeon. RNAcentral's name for it is "bacterial SSU rRNA". It matches the Rfam family "Archaeal small subunit ribosomal RNA", at positions 23 to 857 of the family's 1478-position model. The record is from RNAcentral.
CCUACUGCUAUCGGGGUGGGACUAAGACAUGCGAGUCGAGCGUCUCUAGUUAUGGUGAGACGCGGCAGACGGCUCAGUAACACGUGGCUAACCUACCCUCAGGACAGGGACAAACCCGGGAAACUGGGGCUAAUACCCGAUAGGCGAGGGCGCCUGGAAUGGUUCUUCACCCAAAGGGCUUUGGAAGCAUGCUUUUCAAAGUCGCCUGGGGAUGGGGCCGCGUCCGAUCAGGUUGUUGGUGAGGUAACGGCUCACCAAGCCUAUAACCGGUACGGGCCGUGAGAGCGGUAGCCCGGAGAUGGGCACUGAGACAAGGGCCCAGGCCCUACGGGGCGCAGCAGUCGCGAAAACUCCGCAAUGCACGAAAGUGUGACGGGGCUACCCCGAGUGCCGUCCGCUAAGGAUGGCUUUUCCUCGGUGUAACUAGCCGGGGGAAUAAGGAGAGGGCAAGACUGGUGUCAGCCGCCGCGGUAAUACCAGCUCUCCGAGUGGUAGGGAUGAUUAUUGGGCUUAAAGCGUCUGUAGCCGGCUUAGCAAGUCUCCUGUUAAAUUCAGCGACCUAAUCGUUGAGCCGCGGGAGAUACUACUAGGCUAGGAGGCGGGAGAGGCCGACGGUACUUCCGGGGUAGGGGUGAAAUCCUAUAAUCCCGGGCGGACCACCAGUGGCGAAGGCUGUCGGCUAGAACGCGCUCGACGGUGAGGGACGAAAGCUGGGGGAGCGAACCGGAUUAGAUACCCGGGUAGUCCCAGCCGUAAACGAUGCGGGCUAGGUGUUGGGGUGGCUACGUGCCACUUCAGUGCCGCAGGGAAGCCAUUAAGCCCGCCGCCUGGGGAGUACGGCCGCAAGGCUGUAACUU